UCCUUUUCUGGAAGGAUAAAAGAUGUAAAAUGCUUUGUUGCAAAUUAAGUCCUUUGUUGUGUAACAGUGUCUGAAAGGCUUAGUUUUUGUACGCAUACAAAGCAAAAACAUAUUUCAAAGCCUUGAAAUUUAAAACGAAAGUUUAUAAAAAUAAAUUUAUAAUUUAUUUUGUUGAUCUAUAAAGGAAAGCUUACCUAAUGGAUUUCUACAGAGGAUAAUUUCCAUAUUCCUGUUCUCUUUCCUGAAAAUGCUGGAAUUUGUUAACUUCUCAUUAAUUAUUUUAUAAACAGUAUAGAAACAAAUUGAAGAUUUGCACUAAUCUGUGGAGAAUAAUGGGUGAUAAGUGUCAAGAGUCCAGUUCAGAACCUGCAGUCAGUCUGUUACAGAAAAGCACUGAUAUUUGUUCUCUACUGCCUCCCUUGAAGGUGCACAGUCAAUUGUGGGAAAAAUGAAGAAAGAAAAAAGAAAAAACACAACUUGCAAAACAAUUUUGAAGUGCUGUCUGCCAUGGAUAUAAGCCAGAAUAGGCAGCUGGGCUUUAUUUUUGCUUUGAAGGGUCCAAGGAUGCACACAAACUACUGCACUCCCUCUUUUUCAUGUAUCCACCAAGUCCCAUGGAGUUCUGGGCUGCAUCUGAACCGUCUUGCUGACCCUUCCACUCAGUCCCCAGAUUAGUGCUCCAAGCAGCCCUGCGAUUAUGCUGCUCAAUACUGAUUACAAAGAGUAAGGAGUGGGAGUAUAGCUGAAUUUCAAGUAAAAGACUUCCUUGCAAAACUUUGAUUUGCAGAUACCAGUGAACUUUGUGGGAAGAAGAACAUCAGCUCUGACAGAAGGGGACAAGGCUGGAAUUUUCCCCUGCAUGGCUGCCUGCAAGCAUGACCCAGUGCCAGCUGGCUCCCCACACUGAGCCACCAUAGUUUGAAGCCUCUGUCUGAAAACACCACACAGACACGGAUGAAUGCCAGGAACAAUGGAGUCAGCAGCUUUUUGAUUUUCACUCCAGUGCUAUUGCGAGUUUCUUGGGCUGAAGUUCUUUAUGCAGAUUCCUAAAGAUCGCUUUAAGGAACUCCAUACUUUGAGGGUUGGAUUUGAAGAUGUGCAUCUGUUGCUACAGAAGACUUGCUCCUGAGCUCUCUAUCCAGUCACUUGGUCACUGUAGAGCGUACAACAAUGAAUCACAGUUAUAAAAAGUUACAAAAAAUAUUUUGGUAUAAAUAAUAAAUAGAAAGAACUUUAAAAUAAACUUCUUUCAAUUUAUUUCCCUUGUGAUAUGAGAUGAACACUCUGUUAUGUGGACAAAAUUUGAAGCCUCUGACUCAAAAAGUGUGUUAAGCUGUCCUCUGUCUACUGGGGGAAAACAAUUCCGUUCUCUUUCAACAUGAAUCUCAUGCUUCAUACUGUAUUGGAAUAUGCGCUCAGAAUUUCAGACUUAAGUCCUUCCAGUCUGUGACUACUGCAGGAAUAAAAAAAGUGACUGUUCAAAUGCUAACUAAAUUUUGUUCAAGUGAAAAAACUACUGUUUUCCAUUUUCUCUAAAACCAUGUGCUAAGGUGCUUAUGCAUA
This is a long non-coding RNA of Anas platyrhynchos (mallard), 1563 nucleotides long. RefSeq lists it as uncharacterized. Lineage: Eukaryota; Metazoa; Chordata; Aves; Anseriformes; Anatidae. The record is from RefSeq and is a predicted model, not a curated record.